This 902-nucleotide ribosomal RNA is filed under the name Neopestalotiopsis formicidarum. Its description in RNAcentral is "Neopestalotiopsis formicarum partial 28S ribosomal RNA". It matches the Rfam family "Eukaryotic large subunit ribosomal RNA", at positions 52 to 981 of the family's 3401-position model. The record is from RNAcentral. Lineage: Eukaryota; Fungi; Ascomycota; Sordariomycetes; Amphisphaeriales; Sporocadaceae.
CAUCGUGUAGAGACAACAGGGAUUGCCUUAGUAACGGCGAGUGAAGCGGCAACAGCUCAAAUUUGAAAUCUGGCCCUUGGGUCCGAAUUGUAAUUUGUAGAGGAUGAUUUUGGUGCGGUAUCUUCCGAGUUCCUUGGAACAGGACGCCUUAGAGGGUGAGAGCCCCGUACGGUUGAAUGCCUAGCCUCUGUAAAUCUCCUUCGACGAGUCGAGUAGUUUGGGAAUGCUGCUCUAAAUGGGAGGUAAAUUUCUUCUAAAGCUAAAUAUUGGCCAGAGACCGAUAGCGCACAAGUAGAGUGAUCGAAAGAUGAAAAGCACUUUGAAAAGAGGGUUAAAUAGCACGUGAAAUUGUUGAAAGGGAAGGAUUUGUGACCAGACUUUUUCUGGGCGGAUCAUCCGGGGUUCUCUCCGGUGCACUUCGCCCAGUAAAGGCCAGCAUCGGUUUUCGGCGUGGGAUAAAAGCAGUAGGAAUGUGGCUCUCUACGGGGAGUGUUAUAGCCUAUUGUAUAAUACCGCGCUGGGGACCGAGGUUCGCGCUUCUGCAAGGAUGCUGGCGUAAUGGUUAUCAAUCACCCGUCUUGAAACACGGACCAAGGAGUCGAACAUUUGUGCGAGUGUUUGGGUGUUAAACCCUCACGCGUAAUGAAAGUGAACGGAGGUGAGAGCCCUUACGGGUGCAUCAUCGACCGAUCCUGAAGUUUUCGGAUGGAUUUGAGUAAGAGCAUAACUGUUCGGACCCGAAAGAUGGUGAACUAUGCGUGGAUAGGGUGAAGCCAGAGGAAACUCUGGUGGAGGCUCGCAGCGGUUCUGACGUGCAAAUCGAUCGUCAAAUCUGCGCAUGGGGGCGAAAGACUAAUCGAACCAUCUAGUAGCUGGUUACCGCAAUCUCCCCCCCCCGAGAU